GCAGCAGUAGGGAAUCUUCCACAAUGGACGCAAGUCUGAUGGAGCAACGCCGCGUGAGUGAAGAAGGUUUUCGGAUCGUAAAGCUCUGUUGUUGGUGAAGAAGGAUAGAGGUAGUAACU
RNAcentral lists this ribosomal RNA (119 nucleotides) under uncultured Lactobacillus sp. Its description in RNAcentral is "partial 16S ribosomal RNA". It matches the Rfam family "Bacterial small subunit ribosomal RNA", at positions 348 to 466 of the family's 1533-position model. Lineage: Bacteria; Bacillati; Bacillota; Bacilli; Lactobacillales; Lactobacillaceae. The record is from RNAcentral.